This 88-nucleotide ribosomal RNA is filed under the name Vibrio sp. 10N.222.55.C12. Lineage: Bacteria; Pseudomonadati; Pseudomonadota; Gammaproteobacteria; Vibrionales; Vibrionaceae. The record is from RNAcentral.
CUGAUUCCAUGCCGAACUCAGAAGUGAAACACAAUAGCGCCGAUGGUAGUGUGGGGCUUCCCCAUGUGAGAGUAGGACAUCGCCAGGC